RNAcentral lists this long non-coding RNA (770 nucleotides) under Trifolium pratense (red clover). RNAcentral's name for it is "long non-coding RNA (TPRA_LNC006705)". Lineage: Eukaryota; Viridiplantae; Streptophyta; Magnoliopsida; Fabales; Fabaceae. The record is from RNAcentral.
UGGCGACAAAAAUCACUUGAAGCUUGCAUUAUGCCGUUGAUGCAAACUGAAAUCAUAGUGAGUGAGAGCUUCACUACUGAAACGGCGAGUGGAACGGGGAUUGAAGGCUUCGAACGACGACUGAAACGGUAAUCAUGAUUCAUGACUGCAUGAAGAACUGAAACGACGAGUGAAAAUAAAUAUAGUAAAUCACCACUCUUAUGGUAACCAUGGACGAAUCUAAAUUGCCAACAUNNNNNNNNNNNNNNNNNNNNNNNNNNAAGAGCUGAGAAUCAAAGGAUUGUAGUUGUAAUUGAAUCUAUGAGUAAAACCCUAUAAUAACAAUUAACAAGUAAUCUAAAAUGUUAUAACAGAUAACCUUAAACAAUUUACCAAAUCAAAGGAAACCCCAAAUUAAAAACACAUCACCCAAUAACCUAAAAAACACAAAUUUCACCUUGAAAACACUAAUCACAAAAACCCAAUACAUGAAAACAAGUGUAGAUUGAAGGGUAAUUGUAAAUUAGAAAACUUAUCGAAACUAAGAGAUUGCGAUUGAGAAAUAGAAUUAGAACAUGUCGACAGCUUCGAACUGAUAAAUAGAAUCAGUGAAUGAGAUAUUGAAGCUUCAUGACUGCGAUUCAGAGAUUUCACUUCGUGAAUGAAAGACAUUCAAUGAGCAUUAGGGUUCGAGAAUGAGGGGGAAAGAACAAUCGCCACAGUCGAUAAGCGUUUUCAGCUUCGUGACUGAGGGAAAGUUAAGGGAAUGAGUUUUCCCAGAUGGGAAAUUG